Branchiostoma floridae (Florida lancelet) is the source of this 326-nucleotide long non-coding RNA. RefSeq lists it as uncharacterized. NCBI's taxonomy places the organism in Eukaryota, Metazoa, Chordata, Leptocardii, Amphioxiformes, Branchiostomatidae. The record is from RefSeq and is a predicted model, not a curated record. The transcript is spliced from 3 exons.
AUGUCUGUUUUGUGUUGCUCUAGGAAACGUGACGUAUUGCACGCCGACUCAGCUGACUCAGUGUGUGAAAACAGUUGUAGGGAAGCUGUCUAACGGGCAGUACCCGUGCUUCUGCCCGACACCCUGCGUCGCCAACACGUUCCCGACGUUCGUGUCGUACGCGGCCUGGCCCAGCUUUAGUGCACAAGACUACUACAUCGAUAGGUACAACCACACCGCGGAUUACCUGCAGCGUAAUUUUGUGGUAAUGGAUCUGUACUAUUCCCAGCUGAACUACCAGGAGGUGAUCCAACAGCGCCAGUACACAGUCGGGUCCUUCCUAGGUA